This 505-nucleotide ribosomal RNA is filed under the name uncultured Oscillibacter sp. RNAcentral describes it as "partial 16S ribosomal RNA". The record is from RNAcentral. Lineage: Bacteria; Bacillati; Bacillota; Clostridia; Eubacteriales; Oscillospiraceae.
CACGUAGUUAGCCGUGGCUUAUUCAACAGGUACCGUCUUCUGCUCUUCCUUGUUAAAAGAAGUUUACAACCCGAAAGCCUUCUUCCUUCACGCGGCGUUGCUGGGUCAGGCUUGCGCCCAUUGCCCAAUAUUCCCCACUGCUGCCUCCCGUAGGAGUCUGGGCCGUAUCUCAGUCCCAAUGUGGCCGGCCAACCUCUCAGUCCGGCUACUGAUCGUCGCCUUGGUAGGCCGUUACCCUACCAACUAGCUAAUCAGACGCGAGGCCAUCUCUCAGCGAUAAAUCUUUGGCAUCUGUACCAUGCGAUACCUAUGCAUUAUGCGGUAUUAGCAGUCGUUUCCAACUGUUGUCCCCCUCUGAAAGGCAGGUUCCUCACGCGUUACUCACCCGUCCGCCACUAAACAACCCCUUCCAUUGACCGAAAUCUCUUUCCAAGGCGUUCCGUUCGACUUGCAUGUGUUAAGCACGCCGCCAGCGUUCGUCCUCGUAGCCACGGAGUCAACUACU